This 253-nucleotide ribosomal RNA is filed under the name uncultured bacterium. RNAcentral describes it as "partial 16S ribosomal RNA". It matches the Rfam family "Bacterial small subunit ribosomal RNA", at positions 524 to 776 of the family's 1533-position model. The record is from RNAcentral.
CACGUAGGGGACGAGCGUUGUCCGGAUUCAUUGGGCGUAAAGCGCGCGUAGGCGGCUCGGAAAGUCGGUCGUGAAAUGCCGGGGCUCAACCCCGGGACUGCGUCCGAUACUUCCGGGCUGGAGGUAGGUAGGGGAGAUCGGAAUUCCUGGUGUAGCGGUGAAAUGCGCAGAUAUCAGGAGGAACACCGGUGGCGAAGGCGGAUCUCUGGGCCUUACCUGACGCUGAGGCGCGAAAGCCAGGGGAGCAAACGGG